Molecule: long non-coding RNA, 1009 nt
Filed under: Oreochromis niloticus (Nile tilapia)
Lineage: Eukaryota; Metazoa; Chordata; Actinopteri; Cichliformes; Cichlidae
Description: lncRNA (ENSONIG00000037025.1)
Source: RNAcentral
UUUCACUCUUCUCCACAGCUGGCUGACAGACCAACAACAGCACAAGUCAGAGAUGCCCACAGGCUGAUUGUACCACAUAUACAACCCGGUCUGACAACAGAUGCUCUCUUCAGGCUGCUUAAAUCCUCAGUCAGAAGCCUCUGUGUUUGUCCACACUGUCAGCUAGACGGCCUGAUGAAAGGCAGUCACUCUGCGGCCGGUCCGUCUGUGCUUUCAGGUGAGAAGGUUUCAUUAUAUUGAUUUCCCAGGAGGCUCACCUCUACUCAGUUCUCUCCUUGUUGGGUCAUUUCUGCUCAGUUUCUGAGACCUUCUCAUUAUUCUGCAGCCUGAUACCCAAACAUAUGGAUCAGCGAGUGAUUCUGUGCCUCGAUACAUGCUGUUAUUUUUUUCUGUUCUAACACCCACAGUAUCAUUUACUUUUAUAUUCCUCAUUGCUGUAAAACCAGCAGCAGCCAUUAAUCAUGAGUCUGAAUGCUCACAUUGCUUGUUUCUCAUUCAGCCCGCAGGCUGUCGUGGAUGCCGCCUUCCCAGAAGGCCACUGGCUAGCAGCUCGUUAGUGUGUCAACUAACUGACCACCCACGACUCUGCCUGCAUGCCUUGGCCUGGCCCCAGAGGCUCAUGGGUAAUCUGUCAUCCAGUGUGUGUAAAGCCCAACAGAAAACUCUCAGAGACCUGCACGCUGCCUUCUCUAACUUGUGCUCACCGUUCUUCUGCUCAAAGCCGAUGGAAAAAUCCAAAUGGCUGCAGCCUGCUGAUAGCAGACCUUCAGUCAGAGAGGAUGGAGCUGUGAUGUUUCUAUCAGCAGACAAGCAAAUGAACGAACUUCCAGCUGAGCCUCUGAAGCCACAUCAGCUGCCUCCCUCCUCUUCCUCCUCACCCCGUCCUCUGUCAGCCCUUUCUUUUGUCUCACUUUAUCCCCCCGUGCCACUCUGUGACUCUUUUCUUCUCUUUCGUAAACGGUUAAAGUCACUCCUAGAAUAUGUUAUGUUCCUUUAUCGUCCCCGUUGA